RNAcentral lists this ribosomal RNA (492 nucleotides) under uncultured bacterium. RNAcentral describes it as "partial 16S ribosomal RNA". It matches the Rfam family "Bacterial small subunit ribosomal RNA", at positions 30 to 507 of the family's 1533-position model. The record is from RNAcentral.
AGUGAACGCUGGCGGUAGGCCUAACACAUGCAAGUCGAACGGCAGCACAGUAAGAGCUUGCUCUUACGGGUGGCGAGUGGCGGACGGGUGAGGAAUACAUCGGAAUCUACUUUUUCGUGGGGGAUAACGUAGGGAAACUUACGCUAAUACCGCAUACGACCUACGGGUGAAAGCAGGGGAUCUUCGGACCUUGCGCGAUUGAAUGAGCCGAUGUCGGAUUAGCUAGUUGGCGGGGUAAAGGCCCACCAAGGCGACGAUCCGUAGCUGGUCUGAGAGGAUGGUCCGCCCAAGAGGAGGGGGACCACGGUCCAGCCUCCGGGGGGUGGGAGCAGGGGGGAAUUUGGGACAGGGGGCGCAGGCCUGAUCCCCCCACGCCGGGUGGGAGAAGAAGGCUUUCGGGUUGAAAAGCCUUUUUGUGGGAAAAAAAAAGCAGCAGUUUAACCCCCCGUUGUUGUGAGGGAACCAAAAAAAUAAGCACGGCAAAACUCGGUC